Drosophila subpulchrella is the source of this 2606-nucleotide RNA transcript. It is a transcript of the gene named E3 ubiquitin-protein ligase RNF113A, with no coding region annotated. Lineage: Eukaryota; Metazoa; Arthropoda; Insecta; Diptera; Drosophilidae. The transcript has 4 exons. The record is from RefSeq and is a predicted model, not a curated record.
GAAGAAGCAGAUGACCAAUUGGCGAAAUAGAUUAUUUAUUGUUUUUAACUUAAUUCAAUAGAAAAGUACACCUCCCUUAAAGCCGGAGAAUGUCGGAAGAGGCGGCUAGCACCUCGGCCUUUGGCUUUAAAAAGCGGAAUAUCAAAAAGGGAGCCGGCAUUCGCCGCAAAAAGGAAAGCAGCAGCAACGAGUCAGCAAAAAGCAGUGAUGAGGAGGCCCAAGGCAAGACCAGUGCUUUAGUGCGGGCAGAAAACCGCAGAAAGCGCACGAAUCCUAACUUCCAAAGCACCAAAACUCUGAGCAAGGCAAAGCGUCAGGCCGGAGCACCUGAAGAAGAAGCCACAUCCUCCGACGAUGAUAAACUGGGCAUCGCCUACAAGUCCAAGCGCGAGGCUCUACCCAGUGGACCACAGGAUCAGGGAGCCACGUCUAUCAACGAAAUGGACACGGAACUGGAUCGCGAUGCUCAGGCAAUCCACGCGCGAGCCCUGAAAAUCAACGAGGAACUGGAGGGCAAGGCGGACGAUAAGAUCUACAGAGGAAUCAACAACUAUGCGCAGUACUACAAAAAGCAGGACACGGCGGCGGGCAAUGCCAGCUCUGGAAUGGUGCGAAGUGGGCCCAUCAGGGCACCCGCUCAUCUCAGAGCCACUGUGAGGUGGGAUUACCAGCCGGAUAUCUGCAAGGAUUACAAGGAGACGGGAUACUGCGGCUUUGGCGACAGCUGUAAGUUUCUGCACGAUCGCAGUGACUAUAAGGCAGGUUGGCAAAUGGAAAUGGAUCACGAGAGUCAACGGAGGGGAGAUGCCGAUUCCGAUGGCGAUGAUGGCAAGUACGAGAUCCACUCAGACGAGGAGUCGCUGCCUUUCAAGUGCCAUAUCUGCCGCCAGAGUUUCGUCAAUCCCGUGGUGACGAAGUGCAAGCACUAUUUCUGCGAAAAGUGCGCCCUGGCCCAGUACAAAAAGUCACAACGUUGCAUCAUCUGUUCCCAGCAAACAAAUGGCAUUUUCAAUCCCGCCAAGGAGCUUAUAGCCAGGCUCAAAACGAAUCCAAUGGAAAACUCUGAUAGCGAUGAGGAGGAACUCGGAGCAAACGAGGAAAAUGCCGGGGCGGAAGAGGCUCAAGCGAUUUCCUCCGACGAUAGCGAUUAAACUUAAUUGAAAUCAAGCGGGUGAACAAUUCUAAGCUAAAAUGCGUCGAACAGUUCGUCAUGGGGCGAUAAAGUGGUUACGUAAAGGAGUUUCGAGAGUUCAUGUGUACUCUCUCGGCGAAGUCAUAAAUCCCAAUUUAAAAUCAGUGCCAAGUGAAUGGUUUUAACUUUUCAUUCAAUAAACACGGAGCAGAGACAUACGCCCCAACUCCGUCGUACUAUGUGUAUGUCCUGCGAGUGCGAAUGCUGCACGUAGAAUGCAUUAAAGAUAAAAGCCGCCGCAGCUCGGGCAACUUCAAACUGGAAAAUAUGAUACAAAAGGCAACAGUGGAUGGCAAAGAUGGGAUGGGCAAUAGAAUAUGGGUAUUGGUGGGUAUACUAUGCAGUGUGGCCAUAAUUUCCAACAGUGGUUUUUAUGCUGAAUGUGCAUUUUACGACUUUUUAAGUGUCAGGGCAAACAAAACUUUCCGUGGGACUGCCGUCGCAGGACCUCCAGGACUUCCAGGACCAGAACCCUGCAACCCAUGCAACUGGCAGCUGGUGCUAUGUGCUUUGUGCUGCCGGCGGGACACCUUGUGUGUAUACAAAAGACGCCAGACAUAUUUUCUUUCAGCACGAGCAUAAACUUUGCUUUUCAAAUAUAUAUUUUCAAACUUUCAAACCAAGCAAAGCCAGAAAGGGGCGCAUUAAGUCCAAGUUUACGAAAAACUUAAUUCUAUUUUUUAAGCAACAACAAGCACACACAAACACACAGACACACACAUACACACCUCACACCUACGCAGGAAUCCUUGGAAAGGCAAGGCAGUUGCAGUUGCAGUUCCGUUUCCGCCCCGUUGUGUUGCAUGCACUAAGUUAUCGUCUUUAUUGUUUGUCACAUACAUGACCUCACAAUUGUGUUCCUGUUUCUUGGCUGCUCUGCCUCAGCCACUAUUCCCGUUCCCGUUCCCAUUCCCAUUGCCAUUGCCAUUCCUGCCUUUUGCGCUGAAUGGCGAUGCGAGCGGAAACGGAAAUGGCAUAAGUUGUUGUCGCCUACUAGUUCACACGUAAGUCCGUUCAUUCAACAAUAAAACGACGCUGCUGCAGCGCUACAGACGCUACAAAAGGGGGAUUGCUCGCGGACCUGGCCAACAAUGAAAACCCAUAAAAGAAAAUCAAGGCGAUGGCUUGGCCGGGAAUUCAGAGAUGGCAAUGUGAUAUACUGAGUGCCGGCGUGCGAAUGGAGAAGCCUUUCACGAGUCUUUGUAGUCACAGCAGUUCUUUUUGCUUUCGCGUUUGUGGAUGACGAUUUUUUGAAGGCGUCCAUAUAAUUCUUGCUUUUGUCAUUGGUUUCAUACCAUUAUUUUCUUCACAAUUUUUUAUGUUAUUACUGUUUACAAAAUAUAUUCCCUGGGCUACAUAAGCUUAUGAUAAAAAAAACCAUAACAUGUGUAAUAAUAAACAAUAAAACUUAAGU